CGGGAGCCUGAUGGCAGAGAGCUGCUUUUUCCUCGGGUGGUUUUCCUUUUAUUAUUAUUAUUAUUUUAAAUUGUUAUUUUGAUGGUUUCUGUAAGCGUUACCAAAAGACCGCACAACAAGUGAACGAUGCAGGCAGCUGCUGGCUGAGCUGCUGCCGUUUGGAUGUGACGGGGAGAAACAGCAAGAAGCAACACUCGUCCUCCCAUCAGUGGAAAUAGGCUUGGUACACGGAUUACUUAACGUUGAUUUACAAAUCUACAGCAGGAGCUGGGCUCGGGAAGCCUAGUGAUCACACUCACCCAUUCAUUCCUUUUCUCUCUCACACACACGAACACGCUCACCUCUUCCCCACCCCACCCCCCCUUUUUUUUCCCCCCUUUUGGAACAAGGCUGUUGCUUAUUGCCUUUUUGCAAAUGCCUGGGUGAGGUGCUGCGGUUGUGCAGAGUGCCCCCAGCUUCAGCUGCCUCUUUGGCUCGUUCUUGGCGCUCUUGUUGCACAGGGAAGGCAGGGAGAAAAAUAACUCGUCAACCUGUGGUGCCGACUGACCUACCCACCUGCAGGCGUGGGUCAGUUGGCGCAGCCCCCUGCUCAGGACUGCUGUCACCAGAUCCUUACGCUGGCAAGAACAGCACUGCUAUUUCUCUGCCUAUGAACAGUUAAGUGCUUCUUCUGCAUGACCAUAACCAAAGGGUGACCCAUCCACUCCCUUAUGUCCUAUGGGGACCUCAGAACCAAUUUCUCAGUCUUCAUCUCCUCCUCCUCCUCUUACCACUGCUGCUGACGCCCUGGGUGCUGCUCCCAGGUUUGAAACGUUGUUGACAGGCUGAAGAAAGGAUUUGCAAAGACCUCCUCACUGUGUAAAGAGAGUGAUGGCUGGAAUUAGUUUCAACUCCCCAAAUAAUGAUAUUAAACAAUAAUAAGAUUGCUAGGCCAAAGCAUUAUCAGGAACAAAUUAUGAGGAAAGAGACUAUUUGCAUUUGGUUGCAGUGAUGAACUAAAAUCAUUUAUGGAGAGCAGGUACCCUUUGUUUUGCAUGUGUUUGUCUUCAUGAAUGUAGUCGUGAAUCUGAUCAGAUCAGUGGUAGAUAUGGGAAAUAAAUGAAAAUAAAAGGGCUUAGUGGAUGAAAGA
Molecule: long non-coding RNA, 1129 nt
Filed under: Phasianus colchicus (ring-necked pheasant)
Lineage: Eukaryota; Metazoa; Chordata; Aves; Galliformes; Phasianidae
Description: lncRNA (ENSPCLG00000017978.1)
Source: RNAcentral